Molecule: non-coding RNA, 25 nt
Filed under: Mus musculus (house mouse)
Lineage: Eukaryota; Metazoa; Chordata; Mammalia; Rodentia; Muridae
Source: RNAcentral
UGAGAAUUGAACCUGGUCCUCUGUU